Molecule: ribosomal RNA, 253 nt
Filed under: uncultured bacterium
Lineage: Bacteria
Description: partial 16S ribosomal RNA
Rfam family: Bacterial small subunit ribosomal RNA
Source: RNAcentral
UACGUAGGGGGCGAGCGUUGUCCGGAUUUAUUGGGCGUAAAGCGCGCGUAGGCGGUUUGGCAAGUCUGAUGUGAAAACCCGGGGCUCAACCCCGGGCGUGCAUUCGAUACGAGCAAACUAGAGUGUUGCAGGGGAGACUGGAAUUCCUGGUGUAGCGGUGAAAUGCGCAGAUAUCAGGAGGAACACCGGUGGCGAAGGCGGGUCUCUGGGCAACAACUGACGCUGAGGAGCGAAAGCGUGGGGAGCGAACAGG